RNAcentral lists this ribosomal RNA (775 nucleotides) under uncultured Neocallimastigales. Its description in RNAcentral is "partial large subunit ribosomal RNA". It matches the Rfam family "Eukaryotic large subunit ribosomal RNA", at positions 22 to 641 of the family's 3401-position model. Lineage: Eukaryota; Fungi; Neocallimastigomycota; Neocallimastigomycetes; Neocallimastigales. The record is from RNAcentral.
GUACACGCUGUGACUAGCAUAUCAAUAAGCGGAGGAAAAGAAACUAACAAGGAUUCCCCUAGUAACGGCGAGUGAAGCGGGAAGAGCUCAAAUUUGAAAUCUUAAAGGGUUUCCCUUUACGGAAUUGUAGUUUAAAGAAGUGUUUUCUGUUGAGGUUUUGGUAAAAGUUCUUUGGAAUAGGACAUCAUAGAGGGUGAGAAUCCCGUAUUUGACCUUUACUUUCAACUUUGUGAUACACUUUCAAAGAGUCGGAUUGUUUGGGAAUGCAGUCCAAAAUGGGUGGUAAAUUUCAUCUAAAGCUAAAUAUUGGCGAGAGACCGAUAGCGAACAAGUACCGUGAGGGAAAGAUGAAAAGAACUUUGAAAAGAGAGUUAAACAGUACGUGAAAUUGUCAAAAGGGAAGCGUUUGACACCAGUGUUGUUUUUCUGAAAAUCAAUUAAAGAACUGUUUAUGCUAAGCUGUUUAGACUUUAUCAGCUAUCUGUUUAGUUUUGAGCUUUUCUUUAAUGCACUUUUCAGUUAACAAGUCAACAUCAAUUUCUUUUGCUGUAAAAAAGCUUGAGGAGGGUGGCUUGAGAUUCGUCUUAAGUGUUUAUAGCCUCUUGCCUAUGCAGUCGGAGAGAUUGAGGUCUGCAGCGUAGAUCCUUCGGGGCUAAAUGCAUUUGUGCUAAGUUAUAGCAUUUUAUAGACAACUUGUUGACUAUGAUUUGUCUUGUAGCUUACUCGCUUAUGUUAUUUUACCUACGCUUAGGAUGUUGAUAUGCAUGACUGAUAU